This 301-nucleotide ribosomal RNA is filed under the name uncultured bacterium. RNAcentral describes it as "partial 16S ribosomal RNA". It matches the Rfam family "Bacterial small subunit ribosomal RNA", at positions 509 to 807 of the family's 1533-position model. The record is from RNAcentral.
CAGCCGCCGCGGUAAUACGUAGGUGGCAAGCGUUGUCCGGAAUUAUUGGGCGUAAAGGGCUCGCAGGCGGUUUCUUAAGUCUGAUGCGAAAGCCCCCGGCUCAACCGGGGAGGGUCAUUGGAAACUGGGAAACUUGAGUGCAGAAGAGGAGAGUGGAAUUCCACGUGUAGCGGUGAAAUGCGUAGAGAUGUGGAGGAACACCAGUGGCGAAGGCGACUCUCUGGUCUGUAACUGACGCUGAGGAGCGAAAGCGUGGGGAGCGAACAGGAUUAGAUACCCCCGUAGUCCCUGUCUCUUAUAC